ACGUAGGGGACGAGCGUUGUCCGGAUUUACUGGGCGUAAAGGGCGCGUAGGCGGUCAUUUAAGUCAGCUGUGAAAUGGUUUGGAUUAACCGGAUCAUGCGGUUGAAACUGGAUGACUGGAGUGCUGGAUAGGCAAGUGGAAUUCCCAGUGUAGCGGUGUAAGGCGUCGAUAUUUGGAAGAACACCGUUGGCGAAGGCGACUUGCUGGCCAGCAACUGACGCUGAGGCGCGAAAGCCAGGGGAGCAAAAGA
Molecule: ribosomal RNA, 250 nt
Filed under: uncultured prokaryote
Description: partial 16S rRNA
Rfam family: Bacterial small subunit ribosomal RNA
Source: RNAcentral